Molecule: ribosomal RNA, 694 nt
Filed under: uncultured bacterium
Lineage: Bacteria
Description: bacterial SSU rRNA
Rfam family: Bacterial small subunit ribosomal RNA
Source: RNAcentral
GGAUAACGUUUGGAAACGAACGCUAAUACCGCAUGAUAUUAUUGAGCUGCAUGGCUUGAUAAUCAAAGGAGCAAUCCGCUGAAAGAUGGGCUCGCGUCCGAUUAGGUAGUUGGCGGGGCAACGGCCCACCAAGCCGACGAUCGGUAGCCGGACUGAGAGGUUGAACGGCCACAUUGGGACUGAGACACGGCCCAGACUCCUACGGGAGGCAGCAGUGAGGGAUAUUGGUCAAUGGGGGAAACCCUGAACCAGCAACGCCGCGUGAGGGAAGACGGUUUUCGGAUUGUAAACCUCUGUCCUCUGUGAAGAUAAUGACGGUAGCAGAGGAGGAAGCUCCGGCUAACUACGUGCCAGCAGCCGCGGUAAUACGUAGGGAGCAAGCGUUGUCCGGAUUUACUGGGUGUAAAGGGUGCGUAGGCGGCUUUGCAAGUCAGAAGUGAAAUCCAUGGGCUUAACCCAUGAACUGCUUUUGAAACUGCAGAGCUUGAGUGGAGUAGAGGUAGGCGGAAUUCCCGGUGUAGCGGUGAAAUGCGUAGAGAUCGGGAGGAACACCAGUGGCGAAGGCGGCCUGCUGGGCUCUAACUGACGCUGAGGCACGAAAGCGUGGGUAGCAAACAGGAUUAGAUACCCUGGUAGUCCACGCUGUAAACGGUGAUUACUAGGUGUGGGUGGACUGACCCCAUCCGUGCCGGAG